UACCGGGCCCUGAGCCUGUGCGCGCCGACUCCGCGGCUCUGUGGGACCCGGAGGGCGGGGGGACACCUACGCGGGAAAGGACGCAGAUGCUGCUGAGCUCCCUGGAGGCCAGAGCUGGAGCGAAAAAGGUCGGCAGAGGGCGAACUAGGGACACGCCUUCCCACGUCCCUUCCCCCAGCCUACUACAGAAUCGAACGGCCUAGCUACCAGAACCUCAAACGGGGUCCCUGUGCCCGCCCCGGGAUCCCCGAAGGCCUCCUCCAUCCGGCGCCUGGCUCCCGCUCGGGGGAGGGGGUUAAGGGGCUGCUCCGCCUCCCUCCCGCAGAGGAAGGGAGUGCCUCCUUAAGCCGGGUUUGCCCGGGAUACCCUGCUCCCAGCGCCCUCUGUCUCCGCAAGGGACGUCCCGUGCUUGCCACCCGCUGCCCUGGGGGACCUUCUUUCCAGCAACAGCCGGGAGCCCUGUGGAGAGACUGCGGCCUCUGAGCCGAGGAGCAGGAUCCUAGAUCCCAGGAGGUAGACUAACGCAGCCCCAGAGGCCUGGGCAACGCAUCUGCCAGGCAGAUGGUAACUCCAAGGGGGCAAGGUGCGUGAGAAACGCUCGUUAUCCUCACCCGGAGCCAGCAGCACCUGGUUUCCCCCGGGGAACCAGCGCCCCUUGGCAAAGCCAGCGUAAGGUCGUGCAAGCCUGCUUGAAGCCAGGCGAAGAAAAUCUAGAUCACCUGCCCCAACUUGCUGCCCAGCAGGGGUCCCAUCAACACGGAAGGGGAUAUCAGAUGCGGUGGUUGAAGGUUGGAUGAUAUCUCUAAGGUCACAAAGAAGUGCUGCAUGGGAAAAUAGCCCUGGGGCUGAGCUGAAGAUGCCAGAUCCAGCUGAAGGAAUGGCCCAGGGAGGGCAGGAUUGAAGGCCACCCUCCCUGGUGCCUCACAAGGAAGCCUGGCAGCGUGUGCCCUGGGCAGCAGGGCAUGGCGAAGGUCACUGGGACAGUGAAGCUCUCACCGGUGCUCUGCCUGCCUCUGUGAUCCUUCUGUCUGUGCCUCCAUUUCCUCUCCUAGCAGACGGAGAUAGUAAUUGUUCCUGCUCGGUGAUUUAUUGUGGAGAAGGCGAUUAUCUGUGUAUCAUGCCCCACAUAUAGCAACUUCUCCAUACAUGUAGUUGUUAUUAUUAACUAUUGACUUUCUUUGUGGCUUUUAAUAAA
Long non-coding RNA from Octodon degus (degu), 1195 nucleotides. RefSeq lists it as uncharacterized. The record is from RefSeq and is a predicted model, not a curated record. NCBI's taxonomy places the organism in Eukaryota, Metazoa, Chordata, Mammalia, Rodentia, Octodontidae. The transcript has 3 exons.